RNAcentral lists this ribosomal RNA (782 nucleotides) under Zhouia amylolytica. RNAcentral's name for it is "bacterial SSU rRNA". It matches the Rfam family "Bacterial small subunit ribosomal RNA", at positions 80 to 862 of the family's 1533-position model. The record is from RNAcentral. Lineage: Bacteria; Pseudomonadati; Bacteroidota; Flavobacteriia; Flavobacteriales; Flavobacteriaceae.
CUAACGAACUUGAGACCGGCGCACGGGUGCGUAACGCGUAUGCAACCUACCUUUUACAGGGGGAUAGCCCAGAGAAAUUUGGAUUAAUACCCCAUAAUACUGUUUAGUGGCAUCAUUUGAACAGUUAAAACUACGGUGGUAAAAGAUGGGCAUGCGUCCUAUUAGCUAGAUGGAGUGGUAACGGCACCCCAUGGCGACGAUAGGUAGGGGUCCUGAGAGGGAGAUCCCCCACACUGGUACUGAGACACGGACCAGACUCCUACGGGAGGCAGCAGUGAGGAAUAUUGGACAAUGGUCGGAAGACUGAUCCAGCCAUGCCGCGUGCAGGAAGACUGCCCUAUGGGUUGUAAACUGCUUUUAUACAGGAAGAAUAAGCUCUACGUGUAGAGUGAUGACGGUACUGUAAGAAUAAGCAUCGGCUAACUCCGUGCCAGCAGCCGCGGUAAUACGGAGGAUGCAAGCGUUAUCCGGAAUCAUUGGGUUUAAAGGGUCCGUAGGCGGGCUAAUAAGUCAGAGGUGAAAGUUUGCAGCUUAACUGUAAAAUUGCCUUUGAUACUGUUAGUCUUGAAUGAUUGUGAAGUGGUUAGAAUAAGUAGUGUAGCGGUGAAAUGCAUAGAUAUUACUUAGAAUACCGAUUGCGAAGGCAGAUCACUAACAAUUUAUUGACGCUGAUGGACGAAAGCGUGGGGAGCGAACAGGAUUAGAUACCCUGGUAGUCCACGCCGUAAACGAUGGAUACUAGCUGUUGGGUUUUCGGACUCAGUGGCUAAGCGAAAGUGAUA